UACAGAGGGGGCAAGCGUUGUUCGGAAUUACUGGGCGUAAAGGGCGCGUAGGCGGCCCGCUAAGUCGAACGUGAAAUCCCCGGGCUCAACCCGGGAACUGCGUCCGAUACUGGUGGGCUCGAAUUCGGGAGAGGGAUGUGGAAUUCCAGGUGUAGCGGUGAAAUGCGUAGAUAUCUGGAGGAACACCGGUGGCGAAGGCGGCAUCCUGGACCGAUAUUGACGCUGAUGCGCGAAAGCCAGGGGAGCAAACGGG
RNAcentral lists this ribosomal RNA (253 nucleotides) under uncultured bacterium. RNAcentral describes it as "partial 16S ribosomal RNA". It matches the Rfam family "Bacterial small subunit ribosomal RNA", at positions 524 to 776 of the family's 1533-position model. The record is from RNAcentral.